GAUCAUGGCUCAGGACGAACGCUGGCGGCGCGCCUAACACAUGCAAGUCGAACGAGAGAGAAGGAGCUUGCUUCUUCGAUCGAGUGGCGAACGGGUGAGUAACGCGUGAGGAACCUGCCUCAAAGAGGGGGACAACAGUUGGAAACGACUGCUAAUACCGCAUAAGCCCACGGGUCGGCAUCGAUCUGAGGAAGGAAGUGAUCCCGCCGUUUGUUAGGAAUGGCCGUCCGCGUCCGACUAGU
Molecule: ribosomal RNA, 242 nt
Filed under: uncultured bacterium
Lineage: Bacteria
Description: partial 16S ribosomal RNA
Rfam family: Bacterial small subunit ribosomal RNA
Source: RNAcentral